This 262-nucleotide ribosomal RNA is filed under the name uncultured prokaryote. RNAcentral describes it as "partial 16S ribosomal RNA". It matches the Rfam family "Bacterial small subunit ribosomal RNA", at positions 524 to 784 of the family's 1533-position model. The record is from RNAcentral.
UACGGAGGGUGCAAGUGUUAUUCGGAAUCACUGGGCGUAAAGAGCACGUAGGCGGAUAGGCAAGUCAGAUGUGAAAUCCCGGAGCUCAACUCCGGAACUGCAUUUGAUACUGCCUGUCUUGAGUGAGGUAGAGGGGAGUGGAAUUCCCGGUGUAGAGGUGAAGUUCGUAGAUAUCGGGAGGAACACCAGAGGCGAAGGCGACUCCCUGGGCCUCUACUGACGCUGAGGUGCGAAAGCGUGGGGAGGCAAACAGGAUUAGAUA